Molecule: ribosomal RNA, 448 nt
Filed under: uncultured bacterium
Lineage: Bacteria
Description: bacterial SSU rRNA
Rfam family: Bacterial small subunit ribosomal RNA
Source: RNAcentral
AACGAACGCUGGCGGCAGGCUUAACACAUGCAAGUCGAACGCCCCGCAAGGGGAGUGGCAGACGGGUGAGUAACACGUGGGAACGUGCCCUUCGCUUCGGGAUAGCCUCGGGGAAACUGGGAGUAAUACCGAAUACGCCGUAUUGGGAAAGAUAUAUCGACGAAGGAUCGGCCCGCGUUGGAUUAGCUAGUUGGCGGUGUAAUGGACCACCAAGGCUACGAUCCAUAGCUGGUCUGAGAGGACGACCAGCCACACUGGGACUGAGACACGGCCCAGACUCCUACGGGAGGCAGCAGUGGGGAGUCUUGGACAAUGGGCGCAAGCCUGAUCCAGCCAUGCCGCGUGAGUGAAGAAGGCCUUAGGGUUGUAAAACUCUUUCGCCGGUGAAGAUAAUGACGGUAACCGGAGAAGAAGCCCCGGCUAACUUCGUGCCAGCAGCCGCGGUAAU